UAUGUAUUAACCUCUCACAAUUGAAUUAUUAUUAUUAUUAAAAUAUCAUUUUGCACACCUUAAAUAUAAGUUAAAUAAAAUUCAAUCUUUGUUAAUAUAACAUCAGUAGAGUUUGAGAAAAGCAAUGUUAGAUGCUGGAACACACAAGGUUCCAGCCCUCAUUUUAAUUUAGUGGAGCUGAUAACUGCAGCAGCUUGAUGACGAAAUCUCGACUCAUCAAAAUCAGCUAAGUCAUAGCUCGACAGAUCAAGGAGGAUACAUUUUGGUGAAAAUGCACCGCAAAUCUGCUUCCAAAGUCUGUUUGGAGAGUGAUGCUCUCACGUCAGCUUGUGUUCUAUUCGAUUAAUUCAAUCGGUACUGCUGUCUACUUUACAUCAAUAGAGAUAUCAGGUAACUCUAUCGUCCGAAACUUAGAUCUCUAUGUGAGGCUCAGGCAGUAGAGAAUAUUACAAAUAUUUUUCCUGAUGUCUCUUUGAUCUUUCGAUGAAGGAACAUCAUGAGUCUGAAAUAAGAUAUUUUCGAACUCUGUAAAACAGAUUUUUAUGUUUCCGAACUUAAAGUAGAGUGUUGUACGUUUGUGUUAUGAUGUCUAUGUGAAAGAGUUGAGUGCAAUACAAUGUCUUUAGCGAUGAAACAUAUCGUCUGAUUGUUUCAAAGAUUCAACAUUAUGUCCGACUUUUGUUUAUCAGUCGAAUUUAUAUCUACAUGCCAGAGACAAAUGAAAGCAAACUAUGAUUUGAGUCUGAAAGGAAGAAAAGUCAUGUUUUUAUUCAUAGGAUAACAAAUACAUUACGAAAACAUCACAGACUAUGAAAGAUAAA
Solanum lycopersicum (tomato) is the source of this 821-nucleotide long non-coding RNA. RefSeq lists it as uncharacterized. NCBI's taxonomy places the organism in Eukaryota, Viridiplantae, Streptophyta, Magnoliopsida, Solanales, Solanaceae. The record is from RefSeq and is a predicted model, not a curated record.